AACCACUCUAGUCUAGCGAACAGGGUGAAUAGCUCUGCUUCUUGAACUGGUGGAGUCUUCACAAUUUUUUAAUAGUUUACGGAGAAAGUCACAAAAUAAUGAUAUCCUGCAGCAAAAUUUGCCCCAAAUCUUCACGCCCUCCACCACACUCCAAACCCUCGAUCCCCUUCCUCCCUUCACCGCGUAUGGCGUCGAGGGCUGGCCGGAUCCUCCCCUGCCUCGAAGCCACGGAGCCGGAGCGGCCGCCGCCGGCCCUAACCAGCGACCUCCACGAGGAGAUCUUCCUACGCGUCGCCUCCCCCACCGACCUCGCCCGCGCCUCCGCCGCGUGCGUCUCCUUCCGCCGCCUCAUCGGCGACCCCCGCUUCCUCCGCCGUUACCGCUCCAUCCACCCGCCGCUACUCCUCGGCUUCAUCAGCUUCGCAAGCUCCCAACCCGCAGGCUUCCAACCCGCUGAGGCGCCCCAACCCUCCGCUGCCGUCGCCCGCGCGGUCGCACGCGCCGCCGACUUCUCCUUCGACUUCGUCCCCACCAGCUCCACCAGCUUGAACCACCACCGGUGCUAUUCCCAGUUUCCGUGUGAUGUCCGAGACGGCCUUGUCCUCUACUACAGGCGCAUCGCCCACAUUAGGGAGCAGGGGCGCUUGUCCUUGGAACUCGCGGUGUGCGACCCCUUGUCCCGGUGGUACCUGCUGCUGCCACCCAUGACCGACGACCUGCUCGUCUCCGUUGAGCUCGAGAACGAAGACAUGUUCAAUUCCGAGGCCUCCUUUGUCUCUUCCGGGGGCAUGGAGGACGAGACAUCAUUCAGGGUGAUGUGCUGGAUGCAUUCCGACACCAAAUUGGUGGUGUUUUUCUUCUCUUCAGGCUCUGAUCACUGGACUGUUGGCGCAUCUACCAGGUGGGAUGAUCUAGGCAUGGACGAACUAGUAGACUCGCUGACGCUGAGUUCACAAUGCGUGUAUGGCUGCUUCUACUGGAAAGUAGACUGCACAAACAAGUUGCUCAAGCUCGACAUGGGCACUAUGGAGUUAUCCAAAUAUGACCUCCCUCCUGAUCAUGAUGAUAAGAAUAUCUUCAUAGUGGAGGCAUGGGAAGGCCAGAUUGCAAUGUUUAGUCAACUUAUUGAUGGGGCCACAUCUGUGGAAUAUUACAACUUGCAAAAUGGCAGUGACAAGUCCCAUGAGUGGCAUAUGAAGAGCAUCAUCCCAUUGCCAGCCCAAUAUAUUAGUUGUGGAUGCUUAAUCAAUGGUCCAGCUGGAGGAUACAUUUUCCUAGUAGGCACUCCAAAAGAACAGGAUGCAGGACAUUCAUUGUUUUUCUCACUUGAGAUUAAGUCUUUCAAAAUUGAGAUGGUCAGUAAGAUAACCUCUCCCUUCCUCUAUGCCCUUCCAUUUUUUGGUUUCCCGCCAUCAAUGUCACCGAGAAGAAUUCAAGGAUAUGAAGUGGUAAGCUUUUUAUCAUAAUUCUUGCCAGUCUUUUGUAUUUCCCAGACCUUUAAUUUACUGUCAAGUGACUGUGAUGCAGGAAUAAUUUUAGAUUUGUAGUGUAGAUGCUAGGCCUUUACACCUUUUUGAGGUAUAACAUUGGUUCUGGGUUUAUCCAAGUAUUAUCUAGGUCCUGGUCACCUUGUAGAGUUGUGGCGCAUCUGCUAUUUGACUAUCUGCUUGUGUUAGAGACUUGUAGGCGAUUCAUAUUAAAAUAUUUUUCUGGUAUAACGAACUCUCUGCUGCAGCAAAGGUAUAUCACACUCAUGAAAAUGAUCCAUGCUCUGUUUUCUGUUUUAUAUUCAACUAAUGCCAGGUUUCAAAAUUGUUUGCCAUGGACCAUUCCAGAGGAUCACAAAAUUAGAAAGAUAAUUUUGUAGCACUAAUUUAUCUUCAACCUUUUAGUGCAAAUAUUUCAAAAUUGAGAGGAGUAUAUAUCCUUUUGUCAAGGGAUGCUAGUGAGUACUAGAUGGGUUACUGUCUUAGUUUAUUUGCACCCUUUUCCCUACCUUUCUAAUCCUGACUAGUUCCAAUUGAUGGGCUUUUGACAACCAAAAUGACCUAGAGAAAGCAAAUCUUGCAUCCCUGCCUGUGACCUUGUUGAGCAUGUUUGCUGUGAAAUACUGGCUUAUGAGCCUAAGCUCAGCCAAACAGGCUUCCGUUUAUACUUCUCAGGCAUGUGCCUUGGCCAUGAUCUUGCGUUGUGUUCAAUCUAGCUAGGGCUGGCUGCAGUCUGCACAAGUCAAUUUGGUGGAACAACAUUCUGACCUUUGUCAUCAGUUUCUAACUUCGAAUUGCAAUCAUUGAUGUGUUGACUUUACAUCGCUGUUGACUGCAAUAAAAUGAUGAACCAUCAUUUGUGCUAUGCAUCAUUGCUUUUGAGUCAAACCCCCUUUGGAGCGAUUCAGCUAAACUGAACUGUCCACUCCUAAGCCUUGGCAGUUGGCACUGAAACUGUGGAAAAGUAAACACUUUUCACUGCAUCUGCUUUCUACCUUGGUGGUUUCUGUAAGACUUAAUCUGCAGCUGUCCCUUUUCUGAUUUUGGUCAAGGAAGUCUGCAGUUUGCUAGCAGCCUUUGUUGACUUGCAGCCUUUGUUGACUUAUGGCUCUAGGCCACUAAUGUUCAGAUAGUGAUAGAAGUUAUUAGCCAUAACUGGUAGCACCUUAGAGUAGGUAGCAAUGGUGUAUAAAUAUGAAUGCAAUGCAAUGAGAAAAGGCAGUUCAUUCUUGCCACAUUCUAGUGUUCAGCUCUCAGCCAGCGCAGAGAGCAGACAACAGAGUGUAUGUGUGUGCAGAAGAGCUCAGCUCUUCUUCUACCUUGGAGCUAAGGAGAGGGAGAGGAAGGUGACCAGUUGCAGGACUAGGUCCCCAUCCAGGUUUGGGUCUUCUUCGUUGCCUUGCUGCUGGUUGGAGCACAGGAGCAGAGUGGCAGAGCGCCACCAUGGGCCACGGGUACGCCCCUGUUGUCUCCAUCUCCUCGGGGCACGGCGGCGACGACGCCUCUGCCAGAACCUGUAUAGCAACCACAACCUGCAGUCGUCUCUGUGCCUUGGUAUUCAUCGCUGCACUAGCACUCCUACUCUGCUUUUGUGCAGAAUGACACCUGCUGAUGAUGAACUGUAGAGAAAUGCUGGUUGCAGAGAUGUGGAUCUCAGUCCAGUUCAAUGCUGGAUCAUUAGUCAUUACUGUUUGAUAUGCGUGGCUCACUGAUCUGUUCACAAAACUCACGGAGAAAUCUACGCUGAUCUGGAGGCAUCAGGUGGCCAAAUGACAGGCCAUCAAAAUUCUUAGUAA
This is an RNA transcript of Panicum virgatum (switchgrass), 3283 nucleotides long. RefSeq lists it as uncharacterized. The record is from RefSeq and is a predicted model, not a curated record. Lineage: Eukaryota; Viridiplantae; Streptophyta; Magnoliopsida; Poales; Poaceae. The transcript is spliced from 2 exons.